This is a long non-coding RNA of Prunus mume (Japanese apricot), 794 nucleotides long. RefSeq lists it as uncharacterized. Lineage: Eukaryota; Viridiplantae; Streptophyta; Magnoliopsida; Rosales; Rosaceae. The record is from RefSeq and is a predicted model, not a curated record.
UACGGAAUGAAUGGGCUUAAUCCACAAGAAGACCGAUGAGACCCGACCCGAAUAAAUCACAACGUAGCCUGUGCCUUAUAAUUUGAUCAUUCGUUCGACUUGCGCCUUAUCUGAGGUCUCUUUUGAUAUUUUGAUCUGAGACUGAGAGAGACUUCUCUGCUGAACUAUCUCGAUCUAGAGACGUCGGCUCAUUUCCAUUGGAGAUUCUGAUAUUUCGCUGCUAAAUGGAGGACGUGGGAGGCCGAUACGGAUUAACGAUUCGAAGAUGGAGGUUUCUAGGGAGGCCAGCAUACGAACCGUCGUCGUCGUCGCCCUUGGUGUUCGCAUCACGAGGGAUCUGCGAGAAAUUUGCAUGAAAUCUUGGAAAGCGUAGCAUCGAAGAAAUUUGUGCAUACGAACAGUCGUCGUCGGCCUUGGUGCUCUCGGUCUGCGAGAAAUUUGCAUGAAAUAUCGCAGAAGCUUGUGACCGGCCUCGAUUUCCGAGACCAUGGCUGGGUUGCGUAAAGAGAAGCAUCUUCAGACCCAUUCAUUGCAUAGCUUCCACUUCCAGCGAAGAUCUUCAGCCCUUAUGUAAAGAUUGAAAAUGCAAAAAGGUCCCUGCCGAGAAGCUGAGAAGGCUUGGGAUCUUGAACAGCACGGAAUGCUAUUUUGUGUGCGCGCGCGUUUCUUUUAUAAUUUAUAAUUUUUUCAGCUCAUAUAAUGAAUAAGGACAAUGAAUUACUAAAAACAAAAACAAUUAGAUAGCAGGUAAAAACAAUUGCACGAUAUGGAAAUAUGACAUUAAUACGGCUACA